UACAGAGAGUGCGAACGUUGUUCGGAAUUACUGGGCUUAAAGCGCACGUAGGCGGUGCUGUAAGUGUCAGGUGAAAUCCCACGGCUCACCCGUGGAACUGCCUGGCAGACUGCGGUGCUAGAGUGUGGUAGGGGAGAGCGGAACUCCUGGUGGAGCGGUGAAAUGCGUAGAUAUCAGGAGGAACACCGGUGGCGAAGGCGGCUCUCUGGUCCACAACUGACGCUGAGGUGCGAAAGCCAGGGGAGCAAACGGG
Molecule: ribosomal RNA, 253 nt
Filed under: uncultured bacterium
Lineage: Bacteria
Description: partial 16S ribosomal RNA
Rfam family: Bacterial small subunit ribosomal RNA
Source: RNAcentral